ACCUCUGGAGAGUCUAAAGACACCGACGGGGCAAGCCCUAACAUAAGUAUAGGGUGAAUCUCUCAGGUAAAUGACAGAGGAG
This 82-nucleotide non-coding RNA is filed under the name marine eukaryotic metagenome. RNAcentral describes it as "Glycine riboswitch". It matches the Rfam family "Glycine riboswitch aptamer", at positions 8 to 87 of the family's 94-position model. From Rfam's summary of the family: This family represents the bacterial glycine riboswitch. Glycine riboswitches usually consist of two metabolite-binding aptamers domains with similar structures in tandem. The record is from RNAcentral.